GAUGAACGCUAGCGGGAGGCCUAACACAUGCAAGCCGAGCGGUAGAGUUUCUUCGGAAACUUGAGAGCGGCGCACGGGUGCGUAACACGUGUGCAACCUACCUUUAUCUGGGGGAUAGCCUUUCGAAAGGAAGAUUAAUACCCCAUAAUAUAAUGAUUGGCAUCAAUUAUUAUUGAAAACUCCGGUGGAUAGAGAUGGGCACGCGCAAGAUUAGAUAGUUGGUGAGGUAACGGCUCACCAAGUCAAUGAUCUUUAGGGGUCCUGAGAGGGAGAUCCCCCACACUGGUACUGAGACACGGCCCAGACUCCUACGGGAGGCAGCAGUGAGGAAGAUUGGACGAUGGGUGAGAGCCUGAUCCAGCCAUCCCGCGUGAAGGAUGACGGUCCUAUGGAUUGUAAACUUCUUUUGUACAGGGAUAAACCUACCCUCGUGAGGGUAGCUGAAGGUACUGUACGAAUAAGCACCGGCAAACUCCGU
This 478-nucleotide ribosomal RNA is filed under the name uncultured bacterium. Its description in RNAcentral is "partial 16S ribosomal RNA". It matches the Rfam family "Bacterial small subunit ribosomal RNA", at positions 28 to 506 of the family's 1533-position model. The record is from RNAcentral.